GAUCAAGUCCAUGACGGAAGCAACUGUUACAUAUGCUGUAAAAGACUAUAAAAACAAAGGUCAGUGGAAAGAGAAAACAGUUCCGGGCGAGGAAUUCAUCCGUCGAUUUUUAAUGCAUGUUCCUCCAAAACGUUUUGUCAGAAUCCGGCACUAUGGUUUGCUGUCGUGCCGAAACAAGAGCAAAAAGAUGACGCACUGUAGAAAUCUGCUUGGAUGUAAAAAAUAUAUUUCUGCAUUGAAAAAUCGAAAUGCCGCUGAAAUGAUAAAGCUGCUAUAUAACAUCGAUGUAUGGAGGUGUUCUUCCUGUGGAGGAAAAAUGGUUCCACAUCUUCCAGAUAAGCAUACACCAUCUGUUUUAGUGCAUAUGAGAUGUUAAAAUAUACAACUGAAUACUUCAAAAAACUUCCGCAAAGGGAGUUUGUUUGUCAUGCCUAAAAAUAAUUCUUUUGGCACUCCCGUGAGACCGAUAGCGAACGAGUACUGUGAAGGAAAGGUGAAAAGAACCCCGAGCAGGGGAGUGAAAUAGUUCCUGAAACCAUACGCCUACAAGCGGUCGGAGCACAGCAAUGUGUGACGGCGUGCCUUUUGCAUAAUGAUCCUACGAGUUACCGUCACUGGCGAGGUUGAGUGUCACGAGACACGUAGCCGCAGUGAAAGCGAGCCUGAAUAGGGCGCACAGUCAGUGGGGGUAGACGCGAAACCAAGUGAUCUACACUUGGCCAGGAUGAAGUCCCGGUAACACGGGAUGGAGGUCCGCACCAAUAAGCGUUGAAAAGCUUCUGGAUGAGCCGAGUGUAGGAGUGAAAGGCCAAUCAAACUUGGAGAUAGCUCGUACUCCCCGAAAGGCAUUUAGGUGCCGCGUCGGAUGGUCACCGUGAGAGGUAGAGCGACCGAUAGGACAAGAGGGCUUCACCGCCUAUCGAGUCCUGACGAACUCCGAAUGCUCACGGUCUGCAGUCCGGCAGUAAGGGGGCGGGUGCUAAGGUCCGUCCCCGAGAGGAGAAGAAUCCAGACCGCCGUCUAAGGUCCCGGAGUUCUGCCUGAGUUAGUCUAACGAAGUCUGGUCCCUAUGACAGCUAGGAUGUUGGCUUGGAAGCAGCCAUUCAUUCAAAGAGUGCGUAACAGCUCACUAGUCGAGGGUCCGGGCAUGGAUAAUAAUCGGGUAUAAGGCAGACACCGAAGGCGCGGGAUAGCAAUUAUAAAAGUAUCGGUAGGGGAGCAUACUCACAGCGUCGAAUGGUGUACGUAAGUUAUCCUGGAGCGGUGAGUAAAGCAAAUGUAGGAAUAAGUAACGAUAAGGAGGGUUAGAUUCCCUCCCGCUGUAAGACCAAGGUUUCCCGGGCAAUGCCAAUCAGCCCGGGGUCAGUCGGGUCCUAAGUCUAAGCCGAACGGCGAUGGCGAUGGCAGAGACGGUUAAUAUUCCGUCACUGCCGCAUGGGGCGACGUGGAGACGGAGCAGUGAAACCACCGCGGGGCGACGGAAGUCCCCGUUGAAGGGUGUAGGCGUUGAGGAUGGCAGGCAAAUCCACCGUCCGAGCUGAACCUGACAGUACGGAGUCCUCCUCGGAGGAAUCUGAUAGUGUGGGUAAUCAUACUCCCGAGAAAAUCCGCUAAGCUUAACCCAUGCGGCACCCGUACCGCAAACGGACACACGUGGUCGGGUAGAACAUACUAAGGCGUUGAGAGAUUCAUGGUUAAGGAACUAGGCAAAUUGACCCUGUAACUUCGGGAUAAAGGGUCCUCGUGAUGAGCGAGGCGCAGAGAAUAGGUCCAGGCAACUGUUUAACAAAAACACAGGGCUGUGCAAACUCGAAAGAUGACGUAUACAGCCUGACACCUGCCCGGUGCCGGAAGGUUAAGAGGAGAUGUCACUCGCAAGAGGAAGCAUUGAAUUGAAGCCCCGGUAAACGGCGGCCGUAACUAUAACGGUCCUAAGGUAGCGAAAUUCCUUGUCGGGUAAGUUC
This 1964-nucleotide ribosomal RNA is filed under the name human gut metagenome. RNAcentral describes it as "bacterial LSU rRNA". The stretch from base 399 to 1964 matches the Rfam family "Bacterial large subunit ribosomal RNA", at positions 1 to 1983 of the family's 2925-position model. The record is from RNAcentral.